UGUUGGAGCCCUUUAGAAGCUCCCUUAGCCCAAAAAUUGCCGAGGGUCUGAUUUGUGCCCAGAACUGGUUGAAGCCUUCUCUUUACCAAUUCAAAGAUCAAGACCUUGAUGAGGAGUGGGAGCUUAAUGAUGAGAUUGUGGCAGAAUUACAAGCAGCAGCAAGUUCUAUGACCCCAGGUGGAUCAGCUUCAGCAGCUGGAACAUCCUCUCAGCCAAUGAAUAUUGGCUGAAAGCGCAACUUAAAAGUGUACAAUUUCCCUUGAACUUUUUAAUCUUUACUUUAAGUACUCAAGUUAGCCAAUUCUGAUGUGCUUAUUUAUUUUAUGUAUCUGUUACAGGUGCCUGACUUUUUUGGAGUCAUUUGCAGGUCAAAUGACUCACUAUAAUAUUAUAUAAUAUAUGUAGGUUAUUUUGCAAGCAUUGUAGAAGGUUGUAAUGAACCUGUUUUUUGGGAGGUUGAAUCACCUAUGUUGAACAUGAUUUUUUUGGUGGGGCAGCAGCAAGGACUCUUAAGGAUGUGCACUAAAUUAAUCACAACAUGUUGCUUUUUGAAAGACUUGUUGGGACACUUGGAUAGAGGAUGAAUCUGAUUGCUGAUGAGAUGAUAAAGAAGCUUAUGAAGGACAUGGAAAACAUUUCUUCAUUCCUUGUUGGGAUUUGGUUGGGUUCUUGUGUGUGCUGAUCAUAGACAUGCUGAAGAGGGAAUCCUACAUGAUUUUAUUUUCAGUUUUCAUUCUUUAUGGAUAUUUCAAGUCUAAAGUCUUGUAAUAUGAUUUAAAAUCUAAACUUUCGUAGUAGACACAAUGUUGUUAAUGCCUUAAUGCUCUGCUACUUGUGGCUUACUCGAAGACCCUUUUAGUGUGAUUCAAGACUCAAGUUUUAGUUGUAAUUUGGCAGUUAAGAUACAAUCCAGUUUAAGUUUAUGUGAAUGUUAUUAUUGACUAUGGUUAUUGAGCUUUUAAGUUCUAAUAGAACCAAUUUGUGAUGUGUUUUACUUGGCUGGUAAAAUUGAUCAAUAGGUUAUUAUUGAUUUAUUGGCCAUUUGGCGUCUUAAUUAGCUUUGUGAUGUUUUAUUGAUGUUAGGCUUAUUGUUGGUGGGCUUAUUAUUGACCCAUGUUUUAUAAAAAAAAAAUAUCAUUUUUCCUUCAAAAAAAAAAAACUGGCCAAAAAAAGUCCAACCCAGUUAAGGCCCAAACCGUCCAAACCGAACCGACUAAACCGCCUAACCGUUAUAAACCGACCCGACCAAACCGAUUUGGCCCACAGUCGAAAUCGGUCCAAAUUUUAAGCUGUUCGGUUCUUGGCGGUUGGGUUAGAUUGGACCCGAACCCGACCGAACCCGACCGUUGCUCACCCCUAGAUGAGUUA
This is a long non-coding RNA of Lotus japonicus, 1368 nucleotides long. RefSeq lists it as uncharacterized. NCBI's taxonomy places the organism in Eukaryota, Viridiplantae, Streptophyta, Magnoliopsida, Fabales, Fabaceae. The record is from RefSeq and is a predicted model, not a curated record. The transcript has 5 exons.